Molecule: ribosomal RNA, 1242 nt
Filed under: human gut metagenome
Description: bacterial LSU rRNA
Rfam family: Bacterial large subunit ribosomal RNA
Source: RNAcentral
ACCCUCGUUAAGGAACUCGGCAAAAUGUACCCGUAACUUCGGGAUAAGGGUAGCCGCUGUUGUGAAGUCUGAACAGACGGAGCAUGAGGCGGUCGCAGAGAAGAGGCCCAAGCGACUGUUUACCACAAACACAGGUGCCUGCUAAAGAGAAAUCUGACGUAUAGGUGCUGACACCUGCCCAGUGCCGGAAGGUUAAGGAAGGAUGUCCGGAGCAAUCCAAAGCAUUCGACCGAAGCCCCGGUGAACGGCGGCCGUAACUAUAACGGUCCUAAGGUAGCGAAAUUCCUUGUCGGGUAAGUUCCGACCCGCACGAAAGGUGUAACGAUUUGGGCACUGUCUCAACGAGGGACCCGGUGAAAUUGAAGUACCUGUGAAGAUGCAGGUUACCCGCGACUGGACAGAAAGACCCCAUGGAGCUUUACUGUAACCUGACAUUGGGUUCUGAUACAUCACGUACAGGAUAGGUGGGAGGCAUGGAAGCGAGGACGCUAGUCUUCGUGGAGCCGCCGUUGGGAUACCACCCUUGAUGUAUCGGAAUUCUAACCGUAGGAGUAACGAAACUCGGGACAGUGUCAGGCGGGCAGUUUGACUGGGGCGGUCGCCUCCCAAAGAGUAACGGAGGCGCCCAAAGGUUCCCUCAGCGCGGCCGGAAAUCGCGCGAAGAGUGUAAAGGCAGAAGGGAGCUUGACUGAGAGCCAAACACGGCGAUCAGGUACGAAAGUAGGGCUUAGUGAUCCGGUGGCAUCCAAGUGGAAGGGCCAUCGCUCAACGGAUAAAAGCUACCCUGGGGAUAACAGGCUAAUCUCUCCCAAGAGUCCAUAUCGACGGGGAGGUUUGGCACCUCGAUGUCGGCUCAUCACAUCCUGGGGCUGAAGUCGGUCCCAAGGGUUGGGCUGUUCGCCCAUUAAAGUGGUACGUGAGCUGGGUUCAGAACGUCGUGAGACAGUUCGGUCCCUAUCCAUCGCGGGCGCAAGAGAUUUGAAGGGGGCUGCUCCUAGUACGAGAGGACCGGAGUGGACGAACCAAUGGUGUACCAAUUAUCUCGCCAGAGGUAUAGUUGGGUAGCUACGUUCGGAAAGGAUAAACGCUGAAAGCAUCUAAGCGUGAAACCAGCCUUAAGAUGAGAUCUCUCAUAGAGUAAUCUAGUAAGACACCUUGGAGAAGACGAGGUUGAUAGGUCGGGAGUGUAAGUACAGUAAUGUAUUCAGCGGACCGAUACUAAUAUGUCGAGGGCUUGACUUA